AGCGAACGCUGGCGGCAGGCCUAACACAUGCAAGUCGAACGAAGUCUUCGGACUUAGUGGCGGACGGGUGAGUAACACGUGGGAACGUACCUUUUGGUUCGGAACAACUCAGGGAAACUUGAGCUAAUACCGGAUGAGCCCUUAGGGGGAAAGAUUUAUCGCCGAAAGAGCGGCCCGCGUUAGAUUAGCUAGUUGGUGAGGUAAAGGCUCACCAAGGCUACGAUCUAUAGCUGGUCUGAGAGGAUGAUCAGCCUCACUGGGACUGAGACACGGCCCAGACUCCUACGGGAGGCAGCAGUAGGGAAUAUUGGACAAUGGGGGCAACCCUGAUCCAGCCAUGCCGCGUGAAUGAUGAAGGCCUUCGGGUUGUAAAGUUCUUUUGGUGGGGACGAUGAUGACGGUACCCACAGAAUAAGCUCCGGCUAACUUCGUGCCAGCCGCCGCAGUAA
RNAcentral lists this ribosomal RNA (449 nucleotides) under uncultured bacterium. RNAcentral's name for it is "partial 16S ribosomal RNA". It matches the Rfam family "Bacterial small subunit ribosomal RNA", at positions 29 to 523 of the family's 1533-position model. The record is from RNAcentral.